Molecule: ribosomal RNA, 200 nt
Filed under: Chloropicon mariensis
Lineage: Eukaryota; Viridiplantae; Chlorophyta; Chloropicophyceae; Chloropicales; Chloropicaceae
Description: partial Eukaryotic large subunit ribosomal RNA
Rfam family: Eukaryotic large subunit ribosomal RNA
Source: RNAcentral
CCCGCACUCCCGGGGCGUCUCGUGCUCAUUGCGAGCUGAGGCGCACCUAGAGCGUACACGUUGGGACCCGAAAGAUGGUGAACUAUGCCUGGCCAGGACGAAGUCAGGGGAAACCCUGAUGGAGGUCCGUAGCGAUUCUGACGUGCAAAUCGAUCGUCGGAGCUGGGUAUAGGGGCGAAAGACUAAUCGAACCAUCUAGU